GAACAAGCUGUUAAGAGCAUAUGGCGGAUGCCUUGGUGCUAACAGGCGAUGAAGGACGUGAUAAGCUGCGAUAAGCUUCGGAUAGCGGCAAGUACGCUUUGUCACGGGAUUU
Molecule: ribosomal RNA, 112 nt
Filed under: uncultured Verrucomicrobiales bacterium
Lineage: Bacteria; Pseudomonadati; Verrucomicrobiota; Verrucomicrobiia; Verrucomicrobiales
Description: partial 23S ribosomal RNA
Rfam family: Bacterial large subunit ribosomal RNA
Source: RNAcentral